UGGGUGUCCAGCUGUUCCUGCUAGGUGAUUGGGGCCACGAACAGACAGCACAUCAUGGAGCUGAUGUUGAAAUGCGUCUUUCUGUUUGCUAUUUUAAAAGGUGUCCAGGCGGAGGUGCAGCUGGUGGAGUCUGGAGGAGGCUUGGUGCGGCCUGGCGGGUCCCUGAGACUCUCCUGUGCAGCCUCUGGAUUCACUUUCAGUAGUCAUGCGAUGAGCUGGAUUCGGCAGGCCCCAGGGAAGGGGCUGGACUGGGUCUCAACAAUUAUCUAUGAUGGUAGUAGCACAUACUACGCAGACUCCGUGAAGGGCCGAUUCACCAUCUCCAGAGACAACAGCAAGAACACGCUGUAUCUGCAAAUGAACAACUUGAGAACUGAGGACACGGCCAUGUAUUACUGUGCAAGAGCACAGUGAGAGAAACCUCAAUGGUAGUUAGUACUGGU
Molecule: non-coding RNA, 443 nt
Organism: Octodon degus (degu)
Lineage: Eukaryota; Metazoa; Chordata; Mammalia; Rodentia; Octodontidae
Source: the annotation of a RefSeq genome assembly